UGUUUUUCGUCAGAGCCGCCGGACAUCAGGAACUGGUUCUCGAGUUACCAGUACGAGUCGCCGGAGGUGCCGGAGCUGGCUGUUGACCCUCCUGCUGUCCACAACGGCAGCGAGACCCAAGACCCAUCGGAGUACCGGGUGGCUGAGCAUUCAUUUCUGAAACACGCCCCUCGGGAUGGCGGUACCGAUUUGAAGGGGGGCUGUUUGGGGAGCCAAGCACAAGCAGAACCCGCUGAGGUUUCUGCUAGAAGAGACAUCCUUCCGAUUGGUAGGAGCACGGUGGAACAGGGCACGAAAAGGAAGCAAAGUCUGCGGGGGCUGUUUGGGGCAGGUUUUCUGGACGACCAUGAAGAAGCUACACAAACUGAAGGCCGUGUCGUGUCGCCUGUGCAGAGAAGUGCAGUGGAUCCUCCGUGGAACCGCAACUGGAAUAGAAAGCGCAGCCAUGAAGGCGCAGUUGACGACAACGAGCUGCUGACGGAUAGUGAGAGCACUUGUAUAGCUGAAACUCAAGUAAAGCCCCCAGGAGGUCAGGAGACUAACCACACCAAACGGCCAGUAAAUUGUGGUGGUACUAGUUUAGCAGCAGAUACUGAAGAAGGUUUCCUUGAAGAUGGCAAUGAACAUUGCAACCUGCCAGUCAAUACUCAUAGUCAAGUCCUAGCUGAUACUGAGAAAACUGGCAUCAAACACCACAUACUGCCUGCUAAUUCUAAUGGUAUUGGUUCAGCUGUCACAGAAGAAAGCUUUCCUGGAGAUGAAAUCAGCCGAAGCAAGCGUAAACUGGAGCAUAAGAAAACAGAAGAAACAGCUGCGGCGGAUGGUUUUGUUGCCAUCAGGACAAAGGUGAAGCCAGCUGAGGAUUUCAGGACAAACAAGAUUCCCAAGGUCUCAACAGGAAGAAAGAACACAACAUUGCAAGAGAGCCGCUGCAUAUCGAGCACUACUCCUUUGGUCCAAGGUAGCACUAGAAGCCCCUUGUCAGAUAGGACCAAUAUUUCAGAAGUUGCAGGAGCUCCAUCACAGGAGAUCAGCGGCAAAUGGAAGCACCCUCGCAAAGGCAAGCCCAACGUUGGCCCUCCGAUGAUACAGCUGCGGUUGGAACAAUGGGUGCGCCGAGUGUAA
RNAcentral lists this ribosomal RNA (1125 nucleotides) under Triticum aestivum (bread wheat). RNAcentral's name for it is "partial small subunit ribosomal RNA". Lineage: Eukaryota; Viridiplantae; Streptophyta; Magnoliopsida; Poales; Poaceae. The record is from RNAcentral.